Non-coding RNA from Angiostrongylus cantonensis (rat lungworm), 71 nucleotides. NCBI's taxonomy places the organism in Eukaryota, Metazoa, Nematoda, Chromadorea, Rhabditida, Metastrongylidae. The record is from Rfam.
GACCGCUUGGCGCAAUGGUAGAGCGUUCGACUCCAGAUCGAAAGAUGGGCGUUCGAUGCGCUCAGUGGUCA